CACGUAGGGUGCGAGCGUUGUCCGGAAUUAUUGGGCGUAAAGAGCUCGUAGGCGGUGUGUCGCGUCGGCCGUGAAAACCUGUGGCUUAACUAUGGGCUUGCGGUCGAUACGGGCAUCACUGGAGUUCGGCAGGGGAGACUGGAAUUCCUGGUGUAGCGGUGAAAUGCGCAGAUAUCAGGAGGAACACCGGUGGCGAAGGCGGGUCUCUGGGCCAAUACUGACGCUGAGGAGCGAAAGCGUGGGGAGCGAACAGG
Molecule: ribosomal RNA, 254 nt
Filed under: uncultured bacterium
Lineage: Bacteria
Description: partial 16S ribosomal RNA
Rfam family: Bacterial small subunit ribosomal RNA
Source: RNAcentral